RNAcentral lists this RNase P RNA (386 nucleotides) under bacterium. RNAcentral describes it as "RNase P RNA component class A". It matches the Rfam family "Bacterial RNase P class A". From Rfam's summary of the family: Ribonuclease P (RNase P) is a ubiquitous endoribonuclease, found in archaea, bacteria and eukarya as well as chloroplasts and mitochondria. Its best characterised activity is the generation of mature 5'-ends of tRNAs by cleaving the 5'-leader elements of precursor-tRNAs. RNAcentral also lists the same sequence under 1 other name. The record is from RNAcentral.
GUGAGCGGGUGUAGCGGUCGCGGCAUGGAUUUCCAUGUCGAGGAAAGUCCGGGCUCCGCAGGACAGGGUGGUGGGUAACGCCCACCGGGAGCGAUCCCAGGGAAAGUGCCACAGAAAAUAUACCGCCGUAGAUCUUCGGAUCCUCGGUAAGGGUGAAAUGGUGAGGUAAGAGCUCACCGCGGGGGCGGUGACGUCCCUGGCAGGGUAAACCCCUCCCGGAGAAAGACCAAACAGAGGCAAAGGAGUGGUCCGCUCCGUUCCCGGCAAUGUCGGGAGAAUGCCCGGGUAGGUCGUUUGAGCUGUCUGGCAACGGUCAGCCUAGAGGAAUGAUCGCACAUCGACCUUGCGUCGAUGAACAGGACUCGGCUUACGGCCCGCUCACCACU